CAGACACCUGGAGACUGAGGUUUUAAAGGAGAGUGGGGCCUUUGGUGGUGUAUGUCAUUGAGGGGAAGUGUCGGCUGUCAAUGUCCCAGAGCUUCCUGUCUCCUUGAGGCCCCAGCGCUGAGCCUUGACUCUGGUUUCCGGAUCCUGCGUUUAGGGUAAAACCGCUCCAGUACCUGCAGAAGGAGCUGUUGGGUCUUUGACUGAGAAGAACCAGUGGGAGACAUUGCUGGCCGCUCUAGGUCACCGUGCUCGACCUAAAAGAGAAAUGCUGCAGGCAGUGCUCCAGGUCUUUUCCAGAGGGGUCGUCAGUGAAGAGCGCGAAGCCUGAAAUCUGUGGCUUCCUCAUGCCUGCUCUCUGGUUGACUGUGUUCAGGAACUCCUCCACUGUGGUGGAGCCGUCAAAACCUACAACCUGGAGAGAGAUGGAGGAAGAGCCAAAUCCAGCUGAUUAUCUCCUGCGCUAUAAUGAGCACCAGGCCUCCCAUCACAGCCUUUGAUCCUGCUGUGGGAGACAGUAGCUCUCUCACACACAGGGACAAGACGGCACCAUCAACCCUCAGGAGAGGAGGACGAGGACAACUUAGAAGUGUUUCGAGAGAUGGAGUGACUCUUCAAGGAAGAUAAAGACAACAAGAGGACAUAAAGACUAGAGCGUUUGUGAAUGUGAGAGUAAAAGAAGACAGAGACGAGAGUGUUCACCUUAAAGAGCUUGAGAGCCUCUGUUUGAAGAGCCUCGGAAGGCAGCGUGGUGAGAGGGUACCGCAGACCCUCUUUACUGAAACACAACACUUCACGUUUCCACAGAGCCGAGUCUGCACGCAUGAACACACAACAGAUUGAAAAACAAAUUAAAAUGGCCCAACAGCUGUUAUCAGGCCAUAAGAACUGGUCGUAAACACUGUCUGGGGUCUAAAUAGAGUCAUUCAAUCUGUCUGUCUCAAUUUAAAACCAUCUUGAGAAGCAGUUGUACAUGUUUUAGACGUGUCUGGUUGGGGGAUAUUUUAAAGUAACUUCUGACCUGAGUCUCCGUCCACAUCCAGCAGCUUGCCGAUCAGCUGCUCGUAC
Carassius gibelio (silver crucian carp) is the source of this 1065-nucleotide long non-coding RNA. RefSeq lists it as uncharacterized. The record is from RefSeq and is a predicted model, not a curated record. The transcript is spliced from 4 exons. Lineage: Eukaryota; Metazoa; Chordata; Actinopteri; Cypriniformes; Cyprinidae.